AAACAACACGAGGGGUGUCCCGCUACCGGGGCUGAGAUGUGCUUGGCAUGAUCCCUUUGAACCUGUAAGUUCAUACUUGCGUAGGAACGUGUUCAUCGACGGCC
Molecule: non-coding RNA, 104 nt
Filed under: Secundilactobacillus similis
Lineage: Bacteria; Bacillati; Bacillota; Bacilli; Lactobacillales; Lactobacillaceae
Also listed under: 1 other name
Description: Lactobacillus similis TPP sequence
Rfam family: TPP riboswitch aptamer (THI element)
About the family: Vitamin B(1) in its active form thiamin pyrophosphate (TPP) is an essential coenzyme that is synthesised by coupling of pyrimidine and thiazole moieties in bacteria. The previously detected thiamin-regulatory element, thi box was extended, resulting in a new, highly conserved RNA secondary structure, the THI element, which is widely distributed in eubacteria and also occurs in some archaea.
Source: RNAcentral